RNAcentral lists this ribosomal RNA (409 nucleotides) under Verrucomicrobiota bacterium. Its description in RNAcentral is "Verrucomicrobia bacterium partial 16S ribosomal RNA". It matches the Rfam family "Bacterial small subunit ribosomal RNA", at positions 355 to 776 of the family's 1533-position model. The record is from RNAcentral. Lineage: Bacteria; Pseudomonadati; Verrucomicrobiota.
UGAGGAAUAUUGCACAAUGGGCGGAAGCCUGAUGCAGCGACGCCGCGUGGGGGAUGAAGGCCUUCGGGUUGUAAACUCCUUUCGACAGGGACGAAGCUUUUGUGACGGUACCUGUAUAAGAAGCACCGGCUAACUACGUGCCAGCAGCCGCGGUAAUACGUAGGGUGCGAGCGUUGUCCGGAAUUACUGGGCGUAAAGAGCUCGUAGGUGGUUUGUCGCGUCGUCUGUGAAAUUCCGGGGCUUAACUCCGGGCGUGCAGGCGAUACGGGCUGACUUGAGUGCUGUAGGGGAGACUGGAAUUCCUGGUGUAGCGGUGAAAUGCGCAGAUAUCAGGAGGAACACCGAUGGCGAAGGCAGGUCUCUGGGCAGUAACUGACGCUGAGGAGCGAAAGCAUGGGUAGCGAACAGG